UACAGAGGGGGCAAGCGUUAUUCGGAAUUAUUGGGCGUAAAGGGCGCGUAGGCGGCUUCGCAAGUGGAAGGUGAAAUCCCUCGGCUUAACCGAGGAACUGCCCUCCAAACUGCGUUGCUUGAGGCCGGGAGAGGUGAGUGGAAUUCCCAGUGUAGCGGUGAAAUGCGUAGAUAUUGGGAGGAACACCAGUGGCGAAGGCGGCUCACUGGACCGGUUCUGACGCUGAGGCGCGAAAGCUAGGGGAGCAAACGGG
This 253-nucleotide ribosomal RNA is filed under the name uncultured bacterium. Its description in RNAcentral is "partial 16S ribosomal RNA". It matches the Rfam family "Bacterial small subunit ribosomal RNA", at positions 524 to 776 of the family's 1533-position model. The record is from RNAcentral.